CGAGCACGCGCGUGUGGCAUAUCAAUAAGCGGAGGAAAAGAAACUAACAAGGAUUCCCUUAGUAACGGCGAGUGAAGCGGGAAGAGCUCAAAUUUGAAAUCUUCAAGGUUCUACCUUGACGAAUUGUAGUUUAUAGAAGUGUUUUCUGUUAGUGGAGUGGCAAAAGUUCUUUGGAAUAGGACAUCAUAGAGGGUGAGAAUCCCGUAUUUGGUCAUUCCUCCUAGCGUUGUGAUACACUUUCAACGAGUCGGAUUGUUUGGGAAUGCAGUCCAAAAUGGGUGGUAAAUUUCAUCUAAAGCUAAAUAUUGGCGAGAGACCGAUAGCGAACAAGUACCGUGAGGGAAAGAUGAAAAGAACUUUGAAAAGAGAGUUAAACAGUACGUGAAAUUGUCAAAAGGGAAGCGUUUGACACCAGUGUUGUUUUUCCGAAAAUCAAUUACGAAUGUUUUAUUUUUGAGGAGUUAUGACUUCAUCGGCUUGCUCCUUUCUUUAUGAAACUUUCUUAAUGCACUUUUCGGUUUAACAAGUCAACAUCAAUUUCUUUUGUUGUAAAAGGGUAUGAGGAAGGUGGCUUUCUUUUCGGAGAAAGUGUUUAUAGCCUUGUGCCUCUGCAAUCGGAGAGAUUGAGGUCUGCAGCGUAGAUCCUUCGGGGUUAGAUACAGUUUGUGCUAAGCUAUAGCCUUUCAUAGACAACUUGUUGACUAUGAUCAGUCUUGUAGCUUACUCGCUUACGCUAUUUUACCUACGCUUAGGAUGUUGAUGUGAUACUGCGAGCA
This 776-nucleotide ribosomal RNA is filed under the name uncultured Neocallimastigales. Its description in RNAcentral is "partial large subunit ribosomal RNA". It matches the Rfam family "Eukaryotic large subunit ribosomal RNA", at positions 19 to 646 of the family's 3401-position model. The record is from RNAcentral. Lineage: Eukaryota; Fungi; Neocallimastigomycota; Neocallimastigomycetes; Neocallimastigales.